RNAcentral lists this ribosomal RNA (394 nucleotides) under uncultured bacterium. Its description in RNAcentral is "bacterial SSU rRNA". It matches the Rfam family "Bacterial small subunit ribosomal RNA", at positions 28 to 414 of the family's 1533-position model. The record is from RNAcentral.
GACGAACGCUGGCGGCGCGCUUAACACAUGCAAGUCGAGCGAGAACCAUGGCUUCGGCCAUGGGGACAGCGGCGAACGGGUGAGUAACACGUGGGCAAUCUGCCCUCGGCACUGGGAUAGCCCGGGGAAACCCGGAUUAAUACCAGAUAGCCUCUCGAGCUCACGGGCUCGUGAGAAAAGAUGGCUUCGGCUUUCGGCUGAGGAGGAGCCUGCGGCGGAUUAGCUUGUUGGCGGGGUAACGGCCCACCAAGGCGACGAUCUGUAGCUGGUCUGAGAGGACGAUCAGCCACACUGGGACUGAGACACGGCCCAGACUCCUACGGGAGGCAGCAGUGGGGAAUCUUGCGCAAUGGGACGAAAGCCUGACGCAGCGACGCCGCGUGAGGGAAGAAGG